UGGGGAAUUUUGGACAAUGGGGGAAACCCUGAUCCAGCCAUCCCGCGUGUGCGAUGAAGGCCUUCGGGUUGUAAAGCACUUUUGGCAGGAAAGAAACGUCGCGGGUUAAUACCCCGCGAAACUGACGGUACCUGCAGAAUAAGCACCGGCUAACUACGUGCCAGCAGCCGCGGUAAUACGUAGGGUGCAAGCGUUAAUCGGAAUUACUGGGCGUAAAGCGUGCGCAGGCGGUUCGGAAAGAAAGAUGUGAAAUCCCAGAGCUUAACUUUGGAAACUGCAUUUUUAACUACCGGGCUAGAAUGUGUCAGAGGGAGGUGGAAUUCCGCGUGUAGCAGUGAAAUGCGUAGAUAUGCGGAGGAACACCGAUGGCGAAGGCAGCCUCCUGGGAUAACACUGACGCUCAUGCACGAAAGCGUGGGGAGCAAAACAGGAUUAGAUACCCUGGUAGUCCACGCCCUAAAACGAUGUCAACUAGCUGUUGGGGCCUUCGGGCCUUGGUAGCGCAGCUAACGCGUGAAGUUGACCGCCUGGGGAGUACGGUCGCAAGAUUAAAACUCAAAUGAAUUGACGGGGUCAUAGCUGUUUCCU
RNAcentral lists this ribosomal RNA (588 nucleotides) under uncultured bacterium. Its description in RNAcentral is "partial 16S ribosomal RNA". It matches the Rfam family "Bacterial small subunit ribosomal RNA", at positions 355 to 1375 of the family's 1533-position model. The record is from RNAcentral.